GGAAAUGAAGGGAACGAGAAACAAUAGCCAUCAUGACGUUCUUAGUCUACGUGACGAUCUGUGAGGAUGACAACCUUCCUCAACAAAGAAAGGGAAAGUGAUUUGCUUGGGAAAUCCAUUAGCUCUUGCCUUUCGAUGCGACGUAUAUGCUCGAAUCAGGUGGUCUUGAUUAUUGUGCUUCGCUAAUCGAUAACAGAACUUUGAUUAGAUCACACGAUCUUCUUAGCUCUCAAGGAGCGUCUUUUCCUUGAGAAGCUUUGUUUUUGUUUUGUUGGGUGCAGACACUGACAUCUUGGAUGUCGAUGACACCUGCAACCCAAUUAGAGCUUGGAAACCUGCAGUCAUCCAUCAUCCUCAACCUCCAGUUUCAUGCGCUUUGUUUUCUGAGACGCAGUCAUCGGUUUGCACAAAGAACCCUUCGUUUGACCCGUACACG
This 436-nucleotide long non-coding RNA is filed under the name Musa acuminata (dwarf banana). RNAcentral describes it as "long non-coding RNA (MACU_LNC002481)". The record is from RNAcentral. Lineage: Eukaryota; Viridiplantae; Streptophyta; Magnoliopsida; Zingiberales; Musaceae.